Molecule: non-coding RNA, 628 nt
Organism: Struthio camelus australis
Lineage: Eukaryota; Metazoa; Chordata; Aves; Struthioniformes; Struthionidae
Source: RefSeq, a predicted model, not a curated record
GUUUUGUAAAUCAGUGUAUCACUUGCUUUACAGGAGCAAUGGGGUAUCCCAGAAGGAACGUUUCCAUUGAAGUGGUACGUGUGAACCCGCAGAGCUCAAUCAAGCUGAGGCAGACGAAUCCAAAAUGGAGAAGACAUCUGCCAGCUGCACAUUGAUACAGCAGACUGGCAUCUGUCAGCAAGGGAAUUAGAAGCAUGAUGUGAACUCAACACAGUGAUAAAGAAGUGGACCAGAAGAGAAGCCACUGAAUGACUUUUGAUUGCUGUUUCAACCUAGAGGCUGGAAUAGAAGUUGAAGGGUUGUUAUUUUAAACAGGUAUAGCGAAGACUCAGAAUAUGCAUUUGCCAUCUUUUCCCCGUGUGGAUGUGGCACCUUUCCCACCUUCAGCUCUACUACAGGAUGCAACCAAGGAAACUUACUGAGCUGGUUUCAUUAGAACCAUCAACGUAUCUUCCAUGAAUUGAAGCUUUCCUUCCUCUGAACAGGGGAUCUGUUCUGCGAUGAAGAAUUACAAGUUAAAGUGGUGUAAAACAAGGCAAAUGGCCCAAACCAGCCAACGUGGUUUGAAGAAGUCCGACUAUUACCGAUAGUUCAGAGCAGCCGCCACCGUGCACGGUGCGAAACGCUG